UGGGGAAUAUUGGACAAUGGGGGGAACCCUGAUCCAGCCAUGCCGCGUGUGUGAAGAAGUCCUUAUGGUUGUAAAGCACUUUAAGCGAGGAGGAGGGUACUGGUAUUAAUACUACCAGGUACUGGACGUUACUCGCAGAAUAAGCACCGUCUAACUCUCUGCCAGCACCCGCGGUAAUACUCCGGGUGCGAGCGUUAAUCGGAUUUACUGGGCGUAAAGCGUCCGUAGGCGGCUGAUUGAGUCGGAUGUGAAAUCCACGAGCUUAACUUGGGAAUUGCAUUCGAUACUGGUUAGCUAGAGUGUGGAAGAGGAUGGUAGAAUUCCAGGUGUAGCGGUGAAAUGCGUAGAGAUCUGGAGGAAUACCGAUGGCGAAGGCAGCCAUCUGGCCUAACACUGACGCUGAGGUACGAAAGCAUGGGGAGCAAACAGG
This 430-nucleotide ribosomal RNA is filed under the name Pseudomonadota bacterium. RNAcentral describes it as "Proteobacteria bacterium partial 16S ribosomal RNA". It matches the Rfam family "Bacterial small subunit ribosomal RNA", at positions 355 to 776 of the family's 1533-position model. The record is from RNAcentral. Lineage: Bacteria; Pseudomonadati; Pseudomonadota.